Molecule: ribosomal RNA, 700 nt
Filed under: uncultured bacterium
Lineage: Bacteria
Description: bacterial SSU rRNA
Rfam family: Bacterial small subunit ribosomal RNA
Source: RNAcentral
UGGCAAGUCGAACGAUGAAGGUAGGAGCUUGCUCUUGCUGGAUUAGUGGCGAACGGGUGAGUAACACGUGAGUAACCUGCCCUUGACUCUGGGAUAACUCCAAGAAAUCGGUGCUAAUACCGGAUACGACCCCUCCAGGCAUCUGGUGGGGGUGGAAAGAAUUUCGGUCAAGGAUGGACUCGCGGCCUAUCAGCUUGUUGGUGAGGUAACGGCUCACCAAGGCGACGACGGGUAGCCGGCCUGAGAGGGUGACCGGCCACACUGGGACUGAGACACGGCCCAGACUCCUACGGGAGGCAGCAGUGGGGAAUAUUGCACAAUGGGCGCAAGCCUGAUGCAGCAACGCCGCGUGAGGGACGAAGGCCUUCGGGUUGUAAACCUCUUUUAGCAGGGAAGAAGCGAAAGUGACGGUACGUGCGGAAAAAGCACCGGCUAACUACGUGCCAGCAGCCGCGGUAAUACGUAGGGUGCAAGCGUUGUCCGGAAUUAUUGGGCGUAAAGAGCUCGUAGGCGGUUUGUCGCGUCUGCUGUGAAAAUCCGAGGCUCAACCUCGGACCUGCAGUGGGUACGGGCAAACUAGAGUGCGGUAGGGGAGAUUGGAAUUCCUGGUGUAGCGGUGGAAUGCGCAGAUAUCAGGAGGAACACCAAUGGCGAAGGCAGAUCUCUGGGCCGUAACUGACGCUGAGGAGCGAAAGCGUGG